GUGGGGAAUCUUCCGCAAUGGACGAAAGUCUGACGGAGCAACGCCGCGUGAGUGAUGAAGGUCUUCGGAUUGUAAAACUCUGUCUUUGGGGACGAUAAUGACGGUACCCAAGGAGGAAGCCACGGCUAACUACGUGCCAGCAGCCGCGGUAAUACGUAGGUGGCAAGCGUUGUCCGGAUUUACUGGGCGUAAAGGGAGCGUAGGCGGAUUUUUAAGUGGGAUGUGAAAUACCCGGGCUUAACCUGGGUGCUGCAUUCCAAACUGGAAGUCUAGAGUACAGGAGGGGAAAGUGGAAUUCCUAGUGUAGCGGUGAAAUGCGUAGAGAUUAGGAAGAACACCGGUGGCGAAGGCGACUUUCUGGACUGUAACUGACGCUGAGGCUCGAAAGCGUGGGGAGCAAACAGGAUUAGAUACCCUUGUAGUCC
RNAcentral lists this ribosomal RNA (425 nucleotides) under uncultured bacterium. RNAcentral's name for it is "partial 16S ribosomal RNA". It matches the Rfam family "Bacterial small subunit ribosomal RNA", at positions 354 to 796 of the family's 1533-position model. The record is from RNAcentral.